CGGUGAAUACUUCGGAGUGCUGGGUUUGCGGUUUCCGUAGGCCUUCGCGCAAAGUUGAAUAAACCUUAUCACUUAGAGGAAGGAGAAGUCGUAACAAGGUUUCCGUAGGUGAACCUGCGGAAGGAUCAUUC
RNAcentral lists this ribosomal RNA (131 nucleotides) under Euduboscquella sp. ex Tintinnopsis sp. 2. RNAcentral's name for it is "partial small subunit ribosomal RNA". It matches the Rfam family "Eukaryotic small subunit ribosomal RNA", at positions 1699 to 1831 of the family's 1831-position model. Lineage: Eukaryota; Dinophyceae; Syndiniales; Eudubosquellidae. The record is from RNAcentral.